This is a long non-coding RNA of Aegilops tauschii subsp. strangulata, 933 nucleotides long. RefSeq lists it as uncharacterized. The record is from RefSeq and is a predicted model, not a curated record. NCBI's taxonomy places the organism in Eukaryota, Viridiplantae, Streptophyta, Magnoliopsida, Poales, Poaceae.
CUCCCAGAUCUAGCGAACCUUCCCACGCCCCACUCCCUCUCCAAUCCAGCCACCCACCCCGCUGGCGCCGGCACGCCCCCGCCCAGGGAACCAGCCGUCGUGCCUCUCCCGCCCCGGGUACUGGCCGCCGCGCCGUCCGCCGCCCAGAGAAUCGACCGCCGUGUCGCCCCUUCCUUGUAUUGGGCCGCCGCCGGGGAUCACGCCGCCGAUGCUGCUGCCUUCGCCCUCCACGGAUCACGCCGCCGCCGCCGCCACCCUCCCCGGAUCGCGCCACCAACAUCCGCCGCUAGCUACUGCUGCCUCCGCAGUCCUCCGCUAGCUGCCGCUGUAGUCCACUGCUAGCUCAGGCGGGGGAGGCAGUACUUAUCCGGCUACCCCUGCGUCACCUGUUGCCACACUGAACAGCGUCCGGACACCACCACGGAUUGCCCCUGGUGCUGCUCGAACUUCUCCAUGCUGGCGACUGGUCGCUCUAACUUCCCCUUGCCAGCCAUUGUGGGCCUCUGUAAACUCUCAUGGCGGCUCCUCCUCCGUUGUAGUACAAGCGAGGUCAACUGCAGCUCGAUGGAGACGCAAAAAUUGGUGGUCAUCGGCCUGUCCUAGCGCACGGACGUGCUGUACGCCUUGGCCGUCUCUUUCCUGGUGACGAGCGUGACGGUGACGCCGCAUCCCGCAUUACAACCUGGCGCCACCCUCCGCCCGAACUAUGCCGGCAGCGCGUCUGAAGACCUCGUCCGUCCUUGAGCACCUGUUCCACGCAAUCAGACGCACAUACACAGACACAGCUGUACCCCGUAUACUUGAGCUUCAGAGCUUCUGAACUCUCUGAAUUUGUGUGCAUGUUUUCUUUAUUCUGUCAUUGCAUAGCUCCACCACUCAAUCUGAAAAUUUAGUCAAUGCUUAUACUUGAUAAAAAACAGCAAGAAACAGUGA